This 7172-nucleotide long non-coding RNA is filed under the name Ananas comosus (pineapple). RNAcentral describes it as "long non-coding RNA (ACOM_LNC039468)". Lineage: Eukaryota; Viridiplantae; Streptophyta; Magnoliopsida; Poales; Bromeliaceae. The record is from RNAcentral.
GGAAUUGGUAUAUUAAGCUAAUGUCAUAAAGCGACAUUGAGUUUGGGACUUGUAUGAACCUAGUAAAUAAUGCCAUAAAGAGGCAUGAAAAUUGGAACAUGCUUGGAUAUAGUAAUGUUCUAGUGUCCUAAAGAGGCACUAGACUUAGUGAAUGUUGGAACUUCACUUCGAGACAUAGACUAGACCCUUGGGGUUACUAGUGGUUAUUCUAUGUUAGAGACAUGAUGACGAGAUCCGUGACAUGAUGACUAUGCUUGCUUGCCAUUUGUGCUCAUUCGUACAUGCUUGUGAGGGUCGCUCCCUACAAGCCGGCACUCCGGAGUUGGCCUUUGCGACGCAGUUCGCGCGUGCGGGAUUGAGACGCCUGUAGGGUCGCGUGGGACAGCCUCAUUCCAGCGUGGGAUGAUGAGCUACCACGGGCAGCUAGGCGGCGAGGCGCCUGUAGGGUCGUGUGGGACAGACUCAUUCCUAGCGUGGAAUGAUGGGCUACCACAAGCAGCUAGGCGGCACAAGCCGGACUACACUUGUGUAGGUCCUAAAAUAAGAUUGAACAAUGACAUUAAACUGGUGUAUAAUAAUCACUACUAGAUAGGCUUAGUAGUUGGUUUACUUGGACAUGCUUUUAGCAUAAUAUUGGACAUUUGGACGUGAUAGUAUUACUUGUUGCAUCAUAGCAUACUUGGUAGCCGUGAUAGAACAUAGUAUGUAUGUAUUGGCAUAUUGGAUUAGGAUAGAGUAGAUGUACUCCAUGUUCUUAUCAUAUAUACUUGUGGCAUAGCAGUAUAGCAUUUCUUUAUAUGCUUUUAUUUUCGCAGUUGUUAUUUCAUUUUCUAUAUUUGCUCAUGACUUGGGCCUAGUGGUGCAUUUUGCUAAGGUCAGUAAUUGCCCACUGGGAACUAUAAAUUAUAGUUCUCACGCCCCCUGUUUUAUGUUUUCUUUCAGAGCCUUCCACCCCGGGAGAGGCUCGGGAUCGCGGGAAAGGAAUCGCCUCGAGUUAGCUAGCGAGGAAUUCGACGAUAGGUGGUCUACCUCUCUUCUGAGUUUUGUUUGGAGAGGUUGAGAGACUUGUACCAUUUUUGUAGAGACCACCCCUUAUAUGUAGCUUGAGACUUGUGAUGUAUUAUUUUACGUUUUGCCUUGGUGGUUUAGUUUCCCUUGUUUCUACCUGUUGUUAGAACUUAGCUGUAUACUUGCUCUGAUAUCUUUAGAUACACUCUAUUUGUUGUUCAUUUAUUCGCUAUUGUUGUAGACGCCUUAUAUGUGUAGGCAUAUGGCGGGUCUGGAUACGCACCGGGCGGGCCUAGGCCGGGUCCCGGGGCGUGACAGAUUAAUUUGGUAUCAGAGCCUAGGGUUGAGUCUUAGUGGACCUAGCAAACCUUAGGCCGGUUGGACUAUAGAAAAUAGGCUCGUGAGAGACGAGGUCUAUUGAUUUGGGAGCGAAAGUAUUGUGAUUGGGUAUUGAUAUAACUCUAAAAAGCUAGAGUUUGAUCGGAGUGUAUAGCUUCUAACUUCGUGGAAGGUUACGUUGGCGGCCGACAACGUAACAUCGGGAGUUAGUAGUAAAGGACACUUCCUUACUUUCGCAUGAUUUGGGUAUUUGUUAGUUGAGCGGGGUUGCGAUAGCGUGGGUUUUAUUAACUUACGCUUUUAUAAUGUUGUAGUGAUAAUGCCGAUUACACGCUCUAAGUCUGUUGGAGCGGACAACGCGGCAACUUUUGAGGAAGUGGAGACAUCCGCUACCUCCGGAUCCGGCGAGGUCCGUGAGUUGAGGAGCCAGCUUGCGGCCCUCACCGAUUUAGUUACCCAGCAGGCGGCGGCGGCUCAGCAGCAGGCAGAUGCGGCGCGCCGGCAGGAGUCACGGAUGAAGCGCCUGGAGGAUCUUCUACUGCAACAGGCGGCUGCCAGGGAGGCUCAGGUCCCUACACCACCCGCGCCGGUAGAGGUUGUUGCGCCCAGGGUGUCGUCCCCUGCACUCGACACUUCGCGGACGACACCGGCGGUAGCACCUCGGGAGGAGGUUAUUGCGGCACCACCAGCUCAGGUGCCGUUGGCAGGGGCAGUUUUCCCCGUGAUGGUUGAGGGAGUGGAGCGGGAACGGCUCAUGGAUCGCCUCAAUGAGUUUAGGAGGUGUAGCCCCAGGAUCUUCGAUGGAGAGAGAGCCGACCACUGGAUCGUAGAGAAGUGGUUGAUGCACAUGGAGAAGUUAUUCCGCGAUACCUUUGUGGAAGAAAGAGAUAGAGUUUGGCUCGCCACUCAUCACCUGGACGGCGAGGCCUAUAGUUGGUGGUUGGAUAUCCAGGAUAACCCCAACACCGACCUUGCAGCGAUUUCUUGGAAGAGGUUCAAGGAACUCUUGUUAGAGCACUACUUUCCCGUCAGCGUUAAGAGGAAGAUGGAGCAGGAUCUGCGAGAGAUGCGCCAGGGGGAUCAGACCGUGGCCGAGUACGAGAGAGAGUUCUCUCGGCUUCUACACUGUGUGCCCUUUGUUGUGCGGGACAACGAGGACAAGGCCCGCAUCUUCGAGCGAGGACUUCGGCCUUCAAUCUUUCGGUUGGUGCAAUCCUCCAACCUCCAGACCUACCGAGAUGUGGUGAACCGCGCGCUCAUUGUGGAGGGCGGCGCGGCGGAAUUGCAGGAGCGCCGUGAGGGCUUGGAUAAAGGUAAGGGCAAGAGGCCCGCGGCUGAGGGUGCGGAUCAGACGCACUCUGGGAGGCCGCCGAGACAUCCCAGGAGCCGGAGCCAGUCGCGAGGACGUGGCUCAUCUGCACUACAUGGAGGAUCUGAUCGUCGCCAAACUCCGAGCUGCGUGAUCUGCGGUGGUCGUCAUUACCCGCGGCAGUGCUCGCAGAGUCGGGGCAGGUGCUACCUGUGUGGCCAGGAGGGUCAUUUCCAGUCGGACUGCCUGAGGGGUCCAGUUCCAGCGCCGUCAUCAGCAUCGGCACCAGCUUCACCGGGUCCCAGUCGGGGGACGACUUCUGCUCACUACCAGGCUGGGCGGCCUCUUGUCCAGAGACAGACGGAGGGGUCACGACAGGCCUCGAGCGGGCGCAUGUAUGCGGCCCAGACUGAGGAGGCGGCAAUAGCAGAGUUUGUGGCUGCAGGUACCAUUAUAUUAUUAUGGCAUUCGAGUUUAUGCAUUUUAUGAUUGAGAUGUUUGCAUCAUUUGCAUACUUUGAUCGGCUGUUUGCCGGAUUGUUUAGCAUUGAUCCUUUCCGAUGCAUGAUCGGGUGAUCGGGUGUGUCGUUUCGAACACCCUACCUUGUGAGAGGAUUUUGUGCGCCAACAAAUAGAUUGGCUUUACUUGGUGUGGAGUUCUAUAGGGUACCUUGUACCUUUGGUCUUGCGAGCUGACUUGACUCGCCUUGAGAAUUUGAGCACGAAAUAGUGCAUUUUGAGGAUUUAUUUUCGCUGGUUGUGUUGACUAUCCCCUUACCUAAAAUCGGGUAACUACUUAGGAGGAUAGUAUUUGUGGCAUGUUAGAGCAUGUCGUGUAGGACAGCGACGUCGGGUGUUGCUUGGGGGACGACCCGUGCCUGGACCAUUUGUGGACUGUGGAGCCUGGGCCCUUGAGGCAGGCUCAGUCAGCUGUGAGUAAUUGUAGCUCGAUACCUACGGGUAGGGAUGAGAUUUUGGUCAGGACGGUAGUUCGAGCUUAGACCCGGGAGUAUGGAAUGUCACGUGUUGGAUCUUGGAUAGCCAUGUGGAAUCUGAGGAUAAUGCUCUUUGGGGGACUAAAGGUGGAGAUGUGCCGGAGUGUGCCAUCUCACUGCAGAGCUAAAGUCCCUGUGGAAUUAGAGCACUCACAAGGGAGCGAUGCACCUGUGAUAUUGCUUCUAAAUAAUGCCGGUGAUCGAAUCGCAGUGUGUUCCCUAGGGAGAAGUAUGCUAAUGACCUCAAUGGCUCGAUAGGUCGAGUUGAGGUGUAAUUGAAGUUUCGAGGACGAAACUCUUUUAAGGGAUGGAGAAUGUAGCAUACCGGAUUUUAAAAUAAGGGUAUAAAUAAAAAUAGUGUGAGAUACUAUUUUUAUUGGACUUAUAGAAGUAAAAUAUAAGUCGGGGACGGCUCGUGCGGAAAUCGGAGCGAGAACAGAAGAUUUUGAAUUUUCUGUGUGAAUCGAGGCUGUUAUUUUAACAGAAAAUGCACAGUGUCAGAAAAUUCUGAAAACUGGAGGAUAAGUCAGAAUUAUUUUUAUGAGUCUAGAUUUAAAGUUUCAUAUCAUUCUGACACCCAGAAGGUGGAAAAUAAAAUCCGACAGUUAUCUGAUAAAGAUUAUAGUUCGGUACAGCUUUCGGUGACCAAACGGGGUCGAAACUGAAAGAUUAAAUUUUUUCUCGUCAAGUUAAGCAAAACCGAACAUAACUGUCAAAUUUGAACUGAAACGGAUUUUCAGAGGGCUCCGGCGAAAGAUAUCAGAUUUCGAACUGCCUGAUGUGAAUAGUGUAUGCUACUAUUGGGAUGUUGACUAUAAGUAGAAGCUUCUAGGCUUCUUCUUCUUCUUCACAGCCACCACCACCACCCCCACACCACACGUUCAUGGUGUAGUGAGAGAAACCCUCCCUUUUCUCUCUCUAAAUAUCUCUCUCAUCUCUCUAGUUCUUUCGCCCAAAUUCACGGCGUUGGCGGAGAGCGAGCUUGCGAACCGCGGUGGGCAACCGACGGAUCGAGCUUUUCGUGCGCAUCGUUGGAGCGGCGUGUUUUCGUUCGGCGUUCACAUUGGGGUAAGCUAUUGGGAUUUGUCUAAUCCUUACUUUAAGUGUUCUAGUGCCUCUAAGACAUUCUUACAGGUUCUCCCAUCUUAAUCUGGGAUUAUUUGAGAAUUGUAUGUUAAAGGGCCUCAAAAAUGGAUUUUCAAUAUGUGAGGGUUCGAUCUAAAUUGAGCCUGUAUAAACCUAAUUGCUAGGUUUUCUGACAAUCGCUGUGCGAAGUCGGUUCGCGAUACGGACGAGGCUACCCGAAAGAAUAAGUAAUACGCCGAUUUCGUACAGAUUGCCGCAGCUUCGCUGCGUAAGCUUCAAAAAUCAUGAAAUCGGAAUCGAGCAUCGUGACAUCAUCCUUUUUUAAAUCUUUGAGCUAAGAGAGUUGGUGGGCACACAGGUCGAGUGGAUGUUCUCGGGGUUUGAACCUCGCUACAAAUGAGAAAAAUCUCAUUAUGUGGAUUUAAUUCAUCGUAAAAUAGAAUUUCACGCUCAUUGAUAGAUGCAUUAUUGGUGAAUUAGAAAAUGCUGGAAUGCUUAUGUUAUAUACAAUGCAUUUUCGGACCUCUAUGUAGUAGAGAGUUUCGUUUGGCAUUGCCGCUAUGGAUAGCAUUCUUAAAAUUGUGGCUUUGGGAUCAUACUUGCAUUUAAGUGAAUAAUACAGAUAUAAAUGCACAUGUUUAUACUAAUGCAUUUUCGACGUCUUAAUGCUAGUAGAGAGCCUUGCAUGUGCAGACUUAUGCAUGGUUUACAUUCUUUAUACGGGACUUUAAAAUCAUGCUCCAUAUAGUAAAUCAUGCACAAAUGUAAUAUGCUUGGACAUAAAAUCUCAUUUGGACAUAAGAGAAUGAUCAUUAGGCCCAUAAAGUGGCUUUGGACUUGAAUAACUGUGAGUUAGAGAGCUAAUGUCGUAAAAUGCGACAUGAGCUUGGAGCUAUGAAUCAAGACUAAGCAAAGUAAUGCUCAUAGAGAGGCAUUAGAUCUUGAAUAAUAAUGUGAAAUGUAUGUGAUGUUAAUGUUUCACGGAGAAUUAUGCUAAAUUGGUAGUGUGGCAUGGAAAGUGUAUGCAAUGUAGGCAUUUAUGAAAACUAAUGCUAAUGUUGAAAUAGUUGCAUACGGACGCAUCGAAACCAUUGUUAGUGGAUAGAUGCAUGUAUAUUUAUAUGCAUUGUGAGAAUACAUGCUAAGUACAAUUAGCAAUGUGAGAUCAUGUUAGGAGGCAUGCGUAUUUAAUCCUAUAUAUGAUAGGUGGUAAGCUAAAGUCAUUAAUAGAGGCAUUGGGCUUGAGAAUGGUAUAUUAAAGGCUAAUGUUCAUAAAGCGACAUUGAGUUUGGGAGUGUAUGAACCUAGUAAAUAUGCCAUAAAGAGGCCAUGAAAAUUGAAUGCUUGGAGUAAUAGUAAUGUUCUAGGUGUCCUAAAGAGGCACUAGACUUAGGAAUAGUUGGAACUUCCUCUUGAGAAUAGAACUAGAGCCCUUGCGGUGGUACUAGUGGGCUAUUCUAUGUUCAAGAGACAUGAUGACGCAGCAUCUACAUGAUAUACGCUAAUGCUUGCUUGCCAUUUGUGCUCAUUCGCACAUGCUUGUGAGGGUCGCUCCCCUACAAGCCGGCACUCCGGAGUUGGCCUUUGCGAGCAGUUCGCCGCGUGGCGAGAUUGAGGACGCCUGUAGGUCGCGUGGACAGGAACUCAUUCCAGCGUGGGAUGACGAGCUACCACGGCAAGCUAGGCGGCGAGGCGCCUGUAGGGUCGUGUGGACAGACUCAUUCCUAGCGUGGAAUGAUGGGCUACCACAGGCAGCUAGGCGGCACAAGCCGGACUACACUUGUGUAGGUCCUAAAACAAGAUUGAACAAUGACAUUAAACUGGUGUAUAACAAUCACUACUAGAUAGGCUUAGUAGUUGGUUUACUUGGACAUGCUUUUUAGCAUAAGUAUUGGACAUUUGGACAUGUAGUACGUGAUAGUAUUACUUGUUGCAUCAUAGCAUACUUGGUACCGUGAUAGAACAUAGUAUGUAUGUAUUGGCAUAUUGGAUCAGAUAGAGUAGAUUACUCCAUGUUCUUAUCACAUAUACUUGUGGCAUAGGCAGUAUAGCAUUUCUUUAUAUGCUUUUAUUUCUGCAGUUGUUAUUUCAUUUUCUAUAUCUGCUCAUGGACUUGGCCUAGUGGGCAUUUUGCUAAGGUCAGUAAUUGCCCACUGGAACUAUAAAUUAUAGUUCUCACCCCCUGUUUAAUGUUUUCUUUCAGAGCCUUCCACCGGAGAGGCUCGGGAUCGGGAAAGGAAAUCGCACUCAGAGUUAGCUAGCGAGGAAUUCGACCGAUAGGUGGUCUACCUCUCUUCUGAGUUUUGUUUGAGAGGUUGAGAGACUUGUACCAUUUUGUAAGACCACACCCUUUAUGUAGCUUGAGACUUGUGAUGAUUAUUUUACGUUUGCCUUGUGUUUAGUUUCCCCUGUUUCUACCUGUUGUUAGAACUUAGC